RNAcentral lists this unclassified non-coding RNA (334 nucleotides) under soil metagenome. RNAcentral describes it as "partial contains 5.8S ribosomal RNA, internal transcribed spacer 2, and large subunit ribosomal RNA". The stretch from base 1 to 120 matches the Rfam family "5.8S ribosomal RNA", at positions 35 to 154 of the family's 154-position model. The record is from RNAcentral.
GAUGAAGAAGGCAGCGAAAUGCGAUACGUUAUGUGAAUUGCAGAAUUCAGUGAAUCAUCGAAUCUUUGAACGCACAUUGCGCCCGCCAGCACUCUGGCGGGCAUGCCUGUUCGAUCGUCAUUUCAACCAUCAAGCCCCAGGCUUGCGUUGGAGCCCUGCGGCUGCCGCAGCCUCCUAAAAGCAGUGGCGGGCUCGCUAUCACACCGAGUGCAGUAGAUUACUCUUCGCUCAGGGCGUGCAGCGGGUUCCGGCCGUGAAACCCCCUACUUUUAAAGGUUGACCUCGGAUCAGGUAGGAAUACCCGCUGAACUUAAGCAUAUCAAUAAGCGGAGGA